CCUACGGGUGGCUGCAGUAGGGAAUCUUCCACAAUGGGCGAAAGCCUGAUGGAGCAACGCCGCGUGGGUGAAGAAGGGUUUCGGAUCGUAAAACCCUGUUGGUAGAGAAGAAAGAGAGUGAGAGUAACUGUUCACGAUUCGACGGUAACUAAUUAGAAAGUCACGGCUAACUACGUGCCAGCAGCCGCGGUAAUACGUAGGUGGCAAGCGUUAUCCGGAUUUAUUGGGCGUAAAGCGAGUGCAGGCGGUCCAUUAAGUCUGAUGUGAAAGCCUUCGGCUUAACCGGAGUAGUGCAUUGGAAACUGGUGAACUUGAGUGCAGAAGAGGAGAGUGGAACUCCAUGUGUAGCGGUGGAAUGCGUAGAUAUAUGGAAGAACACCAGUGGCGAAGGCGGCUCUCUGGUCUGUAACUGACGCUGAGGUUCGAAAGCAUGGGUAGCGAACAGGAUUAGAUACCCCUGUAGUC
RNAcentral lists this ribosomal RNA (465 nucleotides) under uncultured bacterium. RNAcentral describes it as "partial 16S ribosomal RNA". It matches the Rfam family "Bacterial small subunit ribosomal RNA", at positions 338 to 795 of the family's 1533-position model. The record is from RNAcentral.